UACAUAGCCUCACUAUGCCUAACGUUGUAAC
RNAcentral lists this non-coding RNA (31 nucleotides) under Mus musculus (house mouse). The record is from RNAcentral. Lineage: Eukaryota; Metazoa; Chordata; Mammalia; Rodentia; Muridae.